This 844-nucleotide ribosomal RNA is filed under the name Colletotrichum sp. Its description in RNAcentral is "partial large subunit ribosomal RNA". It matches the Rfam family "Eukaryotic large subunit ribosomal RNA", at positions 49 to 924 of the family's 3401-position model. Lineage: Eukaryota; Fungi; Ascomycota; Sordariomycetes; Glomerellales; Glomerellaceae. The record is from RNAcentral.
AUAGCGAGAAAAGAAACCAACAGGGAUUGCCCCAGUAACGGCGAGUGAAGCGGCAACAGCUCAAAUUUGAAAUCUGGCCCCAGGCCCGAGUUGUAAUUUGCAGAGGAUGCUUUUGGCGCGGUGCCUUCCGAGUUCCCUGGAACGGGACGCCAUAGAGGGUGAGAGCCCCGUACGGUUGGACACCAAGCCUUUGUAAAGCUCCUUCGACGAGUCGAGUAGUUUGGGAAUGCUGCUCUAAAUGGGAGGUACAUUUCUUCUAAAGCUAAAUAUUGGCCAGAGACCGAUAGCGCACAAGUAGAGUGAUCGAAAGAUGAAAAGCACUUUGAAAAGAGGGUUAAACAGCACGUGAAAUUGUUAAAAGGGAAGCGCUUGUGACCAGACUUGCGUCCGGUGAAUCACCCAGCUCUCGCGGCUGGGGCACUUCGCCGGCACAGGCCAGCAUCAGCUUGCCGUCGGGGACAAAAGCUUCAGGAACGUGGCUCCUCUCGGGGAGUGUUAUAGCCUGUUGCACAAUACCCUUCGGCGGGCUGAGGUACGCGCUCCGCAAGGAUGCUGGCGUAAUGGUCAUCAGCGACCCGUCUUGAAACACGGACCAAGGAGUCAACCUUAUGUGCGAGUGUUUGGGUGUCAAACCCCUACGCGUAAUGAAAGUGAACGCAGGUGAGAGCUUCGGCGCAUCAUCGACCGAUCCUGAUGUUCUCGGAUGGAUUUGAGUAAGAGCAUAUAGGGUUGGACCCGAAAGAAGGUGAACUAUGCGUGUGUAGGGUGAAGCCAGAGGAAACUCUGGUGGAGGCUCGCAGCGGUUCUGACGUGCAAAUCGAUCGUCAAACAUGCGCAUGGGGGC